AGGACGAACGCUGGCGGCGUGCUUAACACAUGCAAGUCGAACGGAAAGGCCCGCUUGCGGGUACUCGAGUGGCGAACGGGUGAGUAACACGUGGGCAACCUGCCCUCAGCUUUGGGAUAACACAAAGAAAUUUGUGCUAAUACCGAAUAUUGAAGCGACCGGGCAUCUGGUUGUUUUGAAAGUUUUUCGGCUGGGGAUGGGCCCGCGGCCUAUCAGCUUGUUGGUGGGGUAAUGGCCUACCAAGGCGACGACGGGUA
Molecule: ribosomal RNA, 257 nt
Filed under: uncultured bacterium
Lineage: Bacteria
Description: partial small subunit ribosomal RNA
Rfam family: Bacterial small subunit ribosomal RNA
Source: RNAcentral